CAUGCAAGUCGAACGGAAGUUUAAGCAAUUAAACUUUAGUGGCGAACGGGUGAGUAACGCGUAAGCAAUCUGCCCCUAAGACGAGGAUAACAGUUGGAAACGACUGCUAAGACUGGAUAGGAGACAAGAGGGCAUCUUCUUGUUUUUAAAAGACCUAGCAAUAGGUAUGCUUAGGGAGGAGCUUGCGUCACAUUAGUUAGUUGGUGGGGUAAAGGCCUACCAAGACUAUGAUGUGUAGCCGGGCUGAGAGGUUGAACGGCCACAUUGGGACUGAGACACGGCCCAAACUCCUACGGGAGGCAGCAGUAGGGAAUUUUCGGCAAUGGAGGAAACUCUGACCGAGCAACGCCGCGUGAACGAUGAAGUAUUUCGGUACGUAAAGUUCUUUUAUUAGGGAAGAAUAAAUGAUGGAAAAAUCAUUCUGACGGUACCUAAUGAAUAAGCCCCGGCUAACUAUGUGCCAGCAGCCGCGGUAAUACAUAGGGGGCAAGCGUUAUCCGGAAUUAUUGGGCGUAAAGGGCGCGUAGGCGGUUAAAUAAGUUUAUGGUCUAAGUGCAAUGCUCAACAUUGUGAUGCUAUAAAAACUGUUUAGCUAGAGUAAGAUAGAGGCAAGUGGAAUUCCAUGUGUAGUGGUAAAAUGCGUAAAUAUAUGGAGGAACACCAGUAGCGAAGGCGGCUUGCUGGGUCUUUACUGACGCUGAGGCACGAAAGCGUGGGGAGCAAACAGGAUUAGAUACCCUGGUAGUCCACGCCGUAAACGAUGAGUACUAAACGUUGGGUAAAACCAGUGUUGAAGUUAACACAUUAAGUACUCCGCCUGAGUAGUACGUACGCAAGUAUGAAACUUAAAGGAAUUGACGGGACUCCGCACAAGCGGUGGAUCAUGUUGUUUAAUUCGAAGGUACCCGAAAAACCUCACCAGGUCUUGACAUGCUUCUGCAAAGCUGUAGAAACACAGUGGAGGUUAUCAGUUGCACAGGUGGUGCAUGGUUGUCGUCAGCUCGUGUCGUGAGAUGUUGGGUUAAGUCCCGCAACGAGCGCAACCCUUAUUGUUAGUUACCAGCACGUAAUGGUGGGGACUUUAGCAAGACUGCCAGUGAUAAAUUGGAGGAAGGUGGGGACGACGUCAAAUCAUCAUGCCCCUUAUGACCUGGGCUACAAACGUGAUACAAUGGCUGUUACAAAGGGUAGCUGAAGCGCAAGUUUUUGGCGAAUCUCAAAAAAACAGUCUCAGUUCGGAUUGAAGUCUGCAACUCGACUUCAUGAAGUUGGAAUCGCUAGUAAUCGCGAAUCAGCAUGUCGCGGUGAAUACGUUCUCGGGGUUUGUACACACCGCCCGUCAAACCACGAAAGUUGGCAAUACCCAAAGCCGGUGGCCUAACUUCGCAAGAAGAGGGAACCGUCUAAGGUAGGGUCGAUGAUUGGGGUUAAG
Molecule: ribosomal RNA, 1432 nt
Filed under: 'Phyllanthus urinaria' proliferation phytoplasma
Lineage: Bacteria; Bacillati; Mycoplasmatota; Mollicutes; Acholeplasmatales; Acholeplasmataceae
Description: bacterial SSU rRNA
Rfam family: Bacterial small subunit ribosomal RNA
Source: RNAcentral